UUGACAGUUAAAUUCAUGUAAGGUAGAGUUAAUUCAGUUGUCCCUAAUUUCUAAUUUCUUAUAUUUUAGUUGUUUAUUGCAUUAGUAGCUCAUCAUGGAGAAAUUAUUUUCUUUUAUAGAAUUCCCCAAAAAAUAUCUAAUGCACUUAAAAAAUAAGAUAAAAUAUUAGAACAUAGAACGAACCUUUCACUUUUCAGAUAAACGCAGUAAACAUAAUCUAUUGUGGUAAAUUUUCAAGUACAUAUAAAGAGAUUGAAAGUAUUUACUAUGUGUCACUCUGAAAUCGGAUUCUGCCUUCUUUCGUGAACAUACAUUAAUGUGGUUUUGUAUAUAAAGAACCAGUUUGACCACUCCUAAGAAUUAUUCAGACACGAUUUUAUAUUCAGUCUUUUUGGAAGUCUUACCUUUGAUUUUGUAUCUACCGUUUAUUAGUCGAACUAGUCUUUUGAGUCUUUGACAGUGAUCAAUAUAGGGUUCAACUAGUAUAUUAAGAUUAGUGGUUAAGUUAUUUGUCAACUUAGUAUCACGUAUCCAGUCCAGGUUAACCUAGUCAAUCUACAGCUUUUGUAAUAAUACCAAAUUGAUUUCUCAUUUUGGGAGUUAAUUUCUGCUGGUUUGUUCCAUUUUUGAUAAGCAUUAGAUACUAACUGAUAAAAAAAGUGUCCUCAUGCUUGUUAAUCCAUGUUCUUGGGUUGUGGAGGAUUUUUUAUGUUCUAGUCCAUGGCUCAUUCUUCUUCCCUUCUUUUUAUGUUUAAAUGGCUGUGUUUAAGCUAACAACUUUAUCAUAUUGUUAUUAUAAUUAAUCAAGUUAUAAUGGAUGGAUUUAACAAUGGCUAAUAAAAGAGCUCCAACUUUGAUAGAGGUAUGGGAUAGGACCCACUACAAGGAACAGGGUAAUGGAGUUUAUAUCAACUCUCGUGCUAAGGAGAUUAUAGUAAACUUUUUUUAUUAGCUUCUGAUAUAGAUUAUAAGAUUACAUGAUUUUUUUUUUCAUUCAAAUCAAUGAUUACUUUUUUUAUUAGCUUCUGAUAUGAUGAUUUUGUUUUUCAUUCAAAUCAAUAAUAUUGAUUAUAAGAUUACCUAGGCUUGAGGCCCAUCUAGGUGCAAGGUUGACGCCUUGCCUUACUUAAGUCCUAGCAGCUUCAGUGAGGCACGCACUUUAGGGUCCUAGGUGCACGAUGCCCUCGCUUCUUUGAAGUAAAACCCAAUUAGUAUCAGCUUCUAAUCUAAUAUCACCUGAGCCACUCAUAUUUACCUAGACCGGUGUUACAUGGACUCUUCUGUUGAGGGUACAUUUUUACCAAAUCUAUAAUAUAUAAAUCAUCACGUUAAUAGACCACACUAAUUAUCUUUUAUAUUCAGAUUACAGAACAUAGAUAUUAAAACGAAGUAGGACACGGAAUCCCUCAAAAUAUACAAGUGAGAAAAGAAAGAAAAAUUAAUGAAACUCGGCCAUGCUCAAAGCUAGAUAUCUGCAUCUUGCUGCUUUUGCAUUAUCCUAGACAAAUUUUUAAACGUCCUAGUUGUUAAAAUUAAGAAACAUUUUAAUUUUUACCUGUAUAGUGUUUGAUAAUGACUGGUGAAAGUAAAACUCGUGAUCAAUAUGUUAAACUAGAUGAACUAGUUUCUAGGUAUUUCUUUAUUGGGUACUAGAUGUUAUAUCCUACUAAAGAUCUCUCUUUCUACCACUCAAAAAUCUGCUGUUGAUAAAGAUUCUAAUUCUUUUAUGCAAACUAAUUUCUCUGAACAAUAUUAAAACCUCCAUAACCAUAUGUUCCCAAUGGUAUGUUUUCCUUGUCAUAGUCUUCAGAUUUUCACCUAUGAAAAUUCAUAUCCUAAAUUUGGUCGUGUGACAGAGAGUAGCUGGGAGUUUCAAUAUAUUAGUUUCAGUAAGAUAAAAGACUAUCUUCUGUAAAUAAGUAAAUAAAAAAUGUUGUAGAAAGUUCAGGUUCUCAGAAAAUCCCAUCUAAAAUGUCAAAAGAUCAAAAUUAACCUUGAUAGCAAUUUUCUUUUGUUAUAUCAGUUUUCUUUUUUGGAAGAUAAAAGGAGAGAAGUAAGCUGAAGGUGUCAACUUUUUGCAGACUUGCACUCUAUUUGCCAUCCUUGACCUUUAUCCUAUUUUUGGAUAAGAACUGAUUGGGCCUACCUGAAUACUUAGCUUUAGUUGGAUUUGUGGGUGGUGGAACCCAUACCUUUGUCCACUUGUACUUAAUAAUCUGGAUCUAUACUGGCUGAUAGAUAUGUUUUAUCCUUUUUGUUUGUUGGAUCAUCUAUUGUGAUAUUAGCAUAUUAGUAUCAAUAAUUGAGAUCCAUUAUCUUUCAGGAUUGUUUAUAUUUUAAUGCUAUGAUAUUUUUUGUUAAUAAUUUAGUUUAGGACUUUGUUUCCCUUCCUUAACCUUUAUCAUAAGUGAUCUGGAGUAUUUGGACCAAGACAUAACAAAGUCAGCAAAGUCAUGUAACAAAACAUAACAAAGUCAGGAACAUUUGGACUCAAGAGAGAUCAUGUACUUAAAUAAUAAUAAUCGCAAUGCCCCUUAUCACAAUGCACACUGCCGGCGAAUAAGAGCAAUCUGAUCUCAGAAACCACUCGAAUAGAUUGUGGCAUCUAUUCAAUAUCAUGUUUAAUAAUGUAGAAGACUGUCUAGAGAUUCAAUAUCAUCUUGUCAAAUGCUGAUUGUGUUUUAAUGUGUGUUUUGCGUGCACGUGUUCGUGCAUUCGUGUGUGUUAUGCGUUUGUCCCUCAAGAGUUGCAUGAUGAGGGUACUGUCUGUGACAACCCAAAUUUUUAGAAGUUAUUAAAAUAAGAAUUUAAUAAUUAAAAUUCUUAUUAUGAGAUGUUUUGAGUUUGAGUAUGUAUAUGUAUGUGCUGUAUAUUUUGAAAUAUGUGAUCUGGUAUGAAGAGAAAUAUAUAUUCAUAUAUUGGGAAAGUGAGGUUUAAUAGUACCCUGAGUUAUUUGUUUAAUCUGUAUUUUCGAUUCUGGGGACAUAAUCUUUGUACGGAGGGAAGAAUGUGAUAAUCCAAGAUUUUCGUAAUUGUAAUUUAAAAUAUUUAUUUAAAUGAAAUAAAUAUUUUAUUUAUGUGGUUAUUGGUAGUAAAUAUUUAUGACUAGAUAAUAUUCUAAAUUAAAUUAAUUUAUAAUUUAGAGAGUUGUAAUAUAACAUGAGAUGUUAUAUUGCUGUUUUAAUUUAAUAAUUUAAGAUGAUAUGAUAAGUUAUUAAAUAAAAAUUAUAAUGAGAUUAUAAUUUUGUGAUAUUUGUUUAAGUAGAAUAUUUAUUUUAAAUAUAGUAUGUGUAAUUAAUUUAUUUGAUUAUUAUUGGAUAUGGAAAUCCAAAUAAAUAAUAUGUGAUUAUAAAUUAUAAACUAAAUUGCUUAUUAAAAUAAAUUAAUGGAGUUUAAUUUAGUUUUUGCCAAACAAGGCUUAAAUAUAUUAAGUCUUUAAAUUUUAAAGAGUUUUGCCAAACAAAGCCUUAUGACUUUUGGAUUUUUAAUUUUUUAAUUUGUAAAUAAUAUAAAUAGAAUAAAUAAAAUAAUAAAUAUAAUAUAUUUAUAACCUAUACGUUUAUUAGCUUGUAACUGAUACAAUAAGUAUGCGUAUUAUUAUUGGUUAUCAGUUUGGUUUUUACGCAUAACUUAGUUACUAAGCUUAGGAAGAAAAUUGAGAAUUCAGAGAGGAGCUUGAGAGAGAAUUGAGAGAGAACCUAAGGAUUUCAAAGGUCUUUCAGUGGUGUUAGCAAGGAUUCCAAGCUAUUUGAAGGUAUUUCUUUAACACCUUAGUACUAUAUAUAUACGGAUAUACAUAUAUGAGUUUACGGCAAAAAAAAAAUUUAUGUUCUGUGAAUUUGAUUUUUCUGGAAUUGUUGCUCUACAACUAAAUUAUUGCAAUUGUAAGUAAUUGUAAUGCUAGAGUUUAUGUUUGAAUAGGGAAUUGCAUGUUAAUUUCGUGUAAGAGUGGGAAAAAUAAUGGCAGUGUUUGUAUUUUCUCAUAUGUCUUGUAAAAGUACCAAUUUUAGUGGUCAAUUUGUAUGUUAAACUGUAAAUUGAGUUUUGAUUAUGCUAGUUCGUUAAGAAACAAAGAUAACGUAGGUUGAACGAUGUGAUUCAGUGUAUAAUUUUAAUCAUAGUGAUGAUUUUUGUGAAAGAUGUUAAAAAUGGAGUUUGCAUAUAAAAAUAUGGAAUUUGGAAAAUUAAACUAGUUUAAGUUGUUGUUAAACUGUUCUAAUUGGUUUAAUAUGUUAGCAAACAUGUUUGUAAUAGUUUUAUACCAAUUGUAUGUGUUAAUAUUACUAUUUUGAGGGUGAAAUUCGUGUUAGUUGGGCUAAAAACGACUACUGUUCACUACUGUAUCUGGUUCUGUCUAUGCAUUGGCGCAUCUGCGCCGGUGCCAUGGCCAGAAACAACGCUGCUGCGCUGGUCCCAGGCUUAUGUAUGGCGCAGCUGCGCCAUACACCGAUCUGUGGCAGUGGUUUCUUCUACUGCUGCAAACCUGAGAUACCACUAUAACUUCGUCUCAGGUCAUGUUAAAACAUAAUCGUGUCAUGUCAUUGAUAAUUUUAAGUUGUAGAAGGAUUUAUAAGUUAUGAACUUGAUAUGUUAUAACUUAGUGUACACAAUGAAUGUUAGAUAAGUGUUGUGAAGUCAACACUUGGAAUUUCUGAUAUUUAUAUGGUAGCAUAAGAUUUGUACUAAAAUAACAAGUUUAGCUAGAAGUGAGUGUUAUGUUGGAAAGUGGAAUGUAAUGAGAAGAAAAAGGAAUUUUAAUGUAAUUAAACUGAUUAAACAAAGAGACGUCGUAACAAGACUUAAACACUAGAUUGAACAUCGAGUGACGAUUAGAAAGAAAUGUUUUGAAAUAAAAGGAAGAGAAGAGUCAAUGCAAUCUAAUUGACUUCAUUGUGUAUAUGUAACUGAUGCUUGUAUAUAUGAACUUCUAAACUAUUGUAGGAUAAACGCAAGGUAGUAAGCUGUAGUUGGUAAGCAACGAAUUAGGCAAGUCUUUCAGUUCCUAUCUGCUAUGUGAACUUGGUGAUUAACUAUUUUAAAUAUUUAAUUUCAAAGAGCAUGAUGUGUUAUAUAUAUGUUGAAUGUAUGAAACGUUAAAGUCAACUUAUGACUACGUUGAUUGAGUAAAGCAUGAUGAUUGAGUAAGGAACUCAAUCUUUAUACUUGUUAUAUGAACUGUAGCAUGUAUGUUAUGUUAGUCCAAUGUUUAUGAGAUAUAUGUUGAGUAUGUUAUUAUGUGCUACGUGAUGCAUGAAAACUGUUAGAUUUUGCUUGGCUGUCAAGCUCAACCUUGCAAAUUACCAUUUUUGCAGGUCAAAAUUUCAAGGUAAGGAUUUGUGCUAAGUUAAUUAUAAGAAUCCAUAUUUGCGAAGUUUUCUUAUGUUUUAUGAGAAAAGUAUUUAAUAUUUUGAAUGUAACAUGUGCGUUGAAUUGUAAGUUGAGUUGUCCGGUGUAUUUAGAUAUCUAUUUAUGAUGUAAGACUUUGUAUAGUCAUUUUGUUGUAAUGAUUCAUUAGAUGUAUUAGAGGUUUUAUGAUGUACAGUUUUAUGUUGAGUUGUAAAGCUAAAGUUAGAGUUAUCUGAUAUGUAAAGGUUAUUGGAUUGAAAUGUAAAAUUUUAAAUAACAAUAGUGAUAAAGUGAAUCAUAAAAUAAGAUUGAUUCAAAGACAUGUAGAUGAUAAAGGUUUUGAUUCAGGGAAUCAAAGUAAGAAGACAUAAAAGUUUAAAUUAUUCCGCAUUUUAUAAAGUUUAACAUCGAAUAAUGAUGUAAAAUCAGAAGGUAGAUGUGUUAUUAACGAUCAAUGUUAAGAAUUUAAUUGUAUGAAUUUUGGGGUCGUUACACUGUCCUUGUACAAUUCUUCACCUAGAGUGUCAAGUUCAACUAUGGCUUCCUCAAAAGCCUAUACAGUAUACACAUAAAUAUAGACAGAAAUCAAUAAUGACAUUCAAAACGCUUGAAAACUAAAAAAAGUCUGAACCAUCCACCAGCUAGCUUAAUUUUACUGCUAUAGGAGUGUUAAAGAAAAACUUUUGCUCACUAAUUUUGACUUAGGAUGAAACUUAUGCGUAAGUAGCACUUCAUCAAUAAUAACAUAGUCGCCAGUAAAGUGCAAUAUCAGCAAAGUAGUUAUGCCUUUGAUGUUGUUUUGAUGUCAUCCUUUAUUAUCCCUUAACCCGUGUUUUCUAUGUUGUACUCAUGUUUAGCCUUCUACCAUACUGUUUGUCCAAAUUACUUAAUAUUUUUUUUCCUUGUGUACUAUAAUCAGUUUGUAAUUGCUUUCGGUGCAUAAACUAAACUAUCUGUCAGAGAGGAUUGUUUCAUUAGCAUUAGAUGUUAUUAACAGUUGAUUCUACAUGUUUCAUUAGCAUUUGAUGUUAUUACCUUGUUGGUGGAUUCCUUGUCUAAAUCUUUGACAAUAUUUUUACAUUAUCAAGUCUGAUUUUAUAUGGUUGGCUUCUCUAUGCUUUUUCCAAUUUUCUUUUAUUUGUCUAUACAUCAAUAUUUAUAGUUUUAAUUGCUAAUUGAUGUGCAUUUUUUGUGACUUGCAAAUGUAUUUAAUGUACAUAUUUAACUCUUGUACAUGUUUUGGAUUUUAGACAGAAUAUAGUACUGAGGUUGGCAGUCCUGCAGAGGACGGUACACCAAAGGUAGAUGACUUGGCUAUUUGGAUUUAGAAAACUUGUGGGAUUAAGAAAAAGGAUACUUGGUUUUUUAGGAUAUCGCGCACGAGACGUGCUCAGUACUCCUCCUAUAGUGCCGCCGAGUAUAGGUUAUUCUUCACCGCAACAAUCUACUGAUCCUAAGGAAUUGGAGAAUAUGAUUGACAAGAUUGUCCUCCGUCGAUUGGGUAUAAAGUCUAUGGAUGAUACUUCUACCAAUGAUAGUACACCACAACCGUCCAUUGGUAUAGAUAUUACUUAACAUGUAACUAAGUUGGUAGAGAAGAAGUUUACCAACUUCCUUCAAACAUUUACCAACUAUGAUUCACUUGAGGUAUUUACUAAUAACUAUAUUUUUGUCUUUGUCCUUCAUUAAUAUCUCUCUAUCUAUUAAUUUAGGUUCACCAGGUUUAUUUUUUCUUAUUCCUCAUAUUGUUGAAAUUGAAUUUUGGUGUUUCUUUUGUAGGAGGAACUUUACAGGCCCAACCUUGAUUUUCUUGAAGAAAAUGAUGAUGAAGUGGACCUAACAUGAUGUACACUUUAUUCCUUCUAGCUCGUUAUUUUUUCAGUUUUGUUACGUUAGUUAUUAAAUAUUGUAAGUACUAUGAUCUUUGGGAGUUCAAGAUACGAUAACAAAUUAUGUACUUAUCGUGACAUGAGCAUUAUCGAUUUAUAUAUGGA
Molecule: long non-coding RNA, 7340 nt
Filed under: Panax ginseng (ginseng)
Lineage: Eukaryota; Viridiplantae; Streptophyta; Magnoliopsida; Apiales; Araliaceae
Description: long non-coding RNA (PGIN_LNC008133)
Source: RNAcentral